CCAUGUCUCCUUUUUUUCCUCCCCACGUUGUUGCAGGGCGUUUUCAUUGACAGUGGUGGGUGGUUAUUGAAGUUAAAUGACAGUAUUAAUGGUUUGCUUCACACAAUUGCCGUCGGUAAGCCUUUCUCCUCUACUCGUCGCCGCUGUUGUUUGAGUCUGACACCAGCGCCGCCUCCGUUCUACACCCUUUCGUUGCUUAACACACACUGACGCCACAAAAUUUCUGAAAUUGAUCACAAGGUAGCCUUCAUACACCCUUCCCCUUGUACACAUCUGGUAUAUACACAUACACAUAACAUAGCUUUCAUCAAUGGCUAUCUAAACCUUCAUUCAAUCACAUCCUGAUGUUUUACACCCCCACUUUCGUGCUCUUUCCUAAGUUGGUCGUCAGUCGCUUGCGGAAAUCCAUAUCGGCUUCGUCAAUCUUCUUGAUAAUACUAAUCAAGUGCGUUUAUGAAGGAGGUUGAAAUUUUUCAUAAAGAGAGGAGUUUGGAGUUUAAGCCUCCAAAGUUUCAUGGAGAUUUAAUUUCUGGUGCAAAAGAGGGGUGAAUUAGAGGGACGUGUAACUUCCCUAAUUAGGGAGGUUAAAGAGUCGGGCCUACAAUAGUGGGAGCUGGUGACAGUGGCGGAACUAGAACAUCAAUUCAGGGGAAUUCCAAUUCAGCAGUUGAUUGUUUAUGAAAGAAUGCUAUUGGUGGGACUUGAUGAACGGUUAAAAGAACGAGUUUGCGGUCAAGAUGAAGCUGUGGAUGUGAGUGUGUGCUGACACAUACGCGUGAGAGAUCACCAUAUUGUGCCUUAAAACGCAAAGGGGUGGAGUGUUCCAAGGUUUUAGUGGAAAUCCCAACGUGUUGCCGCAAACAGUGGUUUACAGUGUCAUCAUCUACUCCGUGAUCGGGUUUGAGUGGAUCUUAAUUUAUUUACAGUUUUUUUUUUCUAAUUGUGUUAUUGCCCAUGUGUAAAUGUGUUAUAAAGGCUGCUCUUUUAGCUUCAACAAGUUCUACAUAUGGCUCAGAAAUUAGUCUAGAAUGUUGGGUAAUUGGUCAAAAUGCAUUUUGAGUCGAAGUGAGUCGUUUUGAUUAUACCUAUGUUGACACUUUUUUGAAAACACACCAAGAGCUAAAGUGUGACGUGAAGGAUUUGUACAUCAACUCUGCAAAGUUUAUUUCUUUGUUGACACUUGUAAACACACCAAAGACUUAUGUUGACACUUUUUCAUGCGAGUUCUUUUCUUUGUUUUUUUCUUAUGCUAAUCUUUAUUUUUGUGAUCUUUUUGUAGUUAACGUCAACCAAAGGUUGUUGUGGUGAACUUCUGAAACCCUAGGAACCGGAGCAAAGCAGGCAAUAUUGGCGUCAACCAAAGUUUUGUCGACGAAAGUAUUAUUUGUUAUUUGCAAUAGGAACAACCUUGUAGAUUUAAGUUGUCAUGUUUAAAUUAUAUUGAAGCCUUUUAAUUUAUUAAUUGCUGAAAGGGAUAGGUUAGAAUGUUUGAAGCAAGUUG
RNAcentral lists this long non-coding RNA (1501 nucleotides) under Helianthus annuus (common sunflower). RNAcentral's name for it is "hypothetical non coding rna". The record is from RNAcentral. Lineage: Eukaryota; Viridiplantae; Streptophyta; Magnoliopsida; Asterales; Asteraceae.